Molecule: ribosomal RNA, 453 nt
Filed under: uncultured Paraprevotella sp.
Lineage: Bacteria; Pseudomonadati; Bacteroidota; Bacteroidia; Bacteroidales; Prevotellaceae
Description: bacterial SSU rRNA
Rfam family: Bacterial small subunit ribosomal RNA
Source: RNAcentral
ACGGGAGGCAGCAGUGAGGAAUAUUGGUCAAUGGGCGAGAGCCUGAACCAGCCAAGUAGCGUGAAGGAUGACUGCCCUAUGGGUUGUAAACUUCUUUUGUUCGGGAAUAAAGGAGCCUACGCGUAGGCUUUUGCAUGUACCGUUCGAAUAAGCAUCGGCUAAUUCCGUGCCAGCAGCCGCGGUAAUACGGAAGAUGCGAGCGUUAUCCGGAUUUAUUGGGUUUAAAGGGAGCGUAGGCGGCCUUUUAAGUCAGCGGUCAAAUGUCAGCGCCCAACGCUGGCCUGCCGUUGAUACUGAUGGGCUUGAAUACACACAAGGAAGGUGGAAUUCAUGGUGUAGCGGUGAAAUGCUUAGAUAUCAUGAAGAACUCCGAUUGCGAAGGCAGCUGUCCGGGGUGUAACUGACGCUAAUGCUCGAAAGUGCGGGUAUCAAACAGGAUUAGAUACCCUGGUA